This is a long non-coding RNA of Nematostella vectensis (starlet sea anemone), 2143 nucleotides long. RefSeq lists it as uncharacterized. The record is from RefSeq and is a predicted model, not a curated record. NCBI's taxonomy places the organism in Eukaryota, Metazoa, Cnidaria, Anthozoa, Actiniaria, Edwardsiidae. The transcript has 2 exons.
GAGCUAAUGACCCUGCUUCGAAUAGCUGACAAAAUAACGAGGACAGCGCGUUUCUAAUAUAACCCUCAGUGUACAGUUAGCAGUACAGCAUUGUAUCUUGAUUUGAGUUGCAGCAGUGAAAUAUCGCCUGAUCGCCAUUUCUAAUGGUUUUGCUGUGACAAAGAAAGGCGGUAAUUACGGCUCUUUGCUUCGUUCCCCAUAAAGUAACUGAGAAAGCUGACGACUUGAACCGGAAGCCAGCAGAUAAUAAAAGCGAUCAGCACCGCUAAUAACAUCUUGACGGCCUUCUGCUUAGUCUUGAGGAGCACUCUUGUAUUCACGCUACUCAUUUCCCCUGGAGCUUUAUGCACCCACAGCCGCCACCCAAUAAUCGCGGGCAUCGUAGCCAUAGCAACAAAAGGUAAACAAUAAAUGAAUACGAAAAGAACGAUAGUAUCCCCUUUGCUUGCUACAUCUGUCUCAAACACUGGGGUCCAGUCCUCCUGGCAGCUAAUGAUGCCCUCGGCCUUAUUGAGUCGAUAAGAGUAGAGGACUGGUGCCGCAACCGCACCUGAUAUUGACCAAGUGAAAUGCGCAAGGUCUUUGAUGAGGAUCUCCGCAGCAUCGGAAGCACAAUGGCUAGCAGCUGGUCAGCGGCAAUCACUGUUAGUGUUAGGACGGUUGCCGCUAGAAGCAUGUAUUGUCCAAAGUUGAGAAACUUGCAACAGAACACAGAGAACGGCUUGUUAACUGAACAGAGAAAUAGGGAAAGGAAUGAAUGAGGACUUGUAAAAUCAUCAUCAUCACCAUCACAACCAAGACUUCCAUAAUCAUCAAUGUCAUCAUUUAUCACAAUUAGUAGUACCGCCCAUUCCACAACUGCUAUCAUUGUCAUAAUCAAAAAAGGGAAAUAAUAAUUGAAGCGGACUUCCAAACAUGGCAUGUAAUGUCCUAAUAAGGAAUUGACCGAGAGAGCUAAUAAAACGACAGUUUUCAAAACAAGAUUGAUUGACAUGUGAUAAUUACCUUGGAGCCAGUCGUACCAAGCGAAGAUUUCAAAAUAAAAGGGCGGAAUCGCUACAACCGUAAAGAGAAGCUCUGCCAAGGCAAGAUUACAGAUCAGGAAGUUGGUGACAGUGCGCAUGCGAAGAUUGCGGUUAACCGCUAUGAUCGUCAGCAGGUUGCCGAUGAUGGCUGCAAGUGUGACUGCCGUGCAGGCGAGGGCCUUGGUAACGAGCUCAGCAACUGAGUCCUGUGGGUAAGUGCUUGCCAAGGCCGAACUAUUGCUUGAGUUGACUUCCAUGGAGGGAUUCUAUAGACAGUGACCACUGCUGACAAAACGUUCUACGUUUUACUGGCAUUUUCAAUAUCCUGCGAGCUCUCAUCAAUAAUUUGCAACUGCUAACGGCUUUCUGGCUUCCGUCAAUCAAACUAACGGAACUGCAUUUGGUGCUUUUUGAUUGGUCAAAACCUUGAGGAGAGGUGGCGUGAUUGGACACAUUUGAAUGGCUGCUGGCCAAUGAAAACGCUUCAAGGAUUUUGAAUGACGGAAGCUACGAGACCAUUUAGCUGUUUGAUAUCGUCGUCGAAAAUUCGCAGAAUAUUGAAAGCUGCAGGCCGUCAAUUUCUUAUGGACUAUAAGAUCCUACUAGACUCAAAACGUUUUUCACCACUGGUGACAACCACUGGUGACAACCACUCGUGACAUAUAAGGUCCCUUGUGCAUUUUGUGGCUAGUGUUUUCAACGAUUUGAGCUACAAAGCGCGGCCGUACACAUAGAGCGAGCAGAAAAGUAUGACCGCGCAAAGAAUGGGGAGAGGGUUUGUUUCGCCUCUUCGCAUCCUUCGCCAUACACGAUUCGAGAAUCCCGGGGCGCGUUGCAUUGUGGACAUGAGUCUAAAAUUUUAGUGCGUGUGUUAUAAUGGUUUGACUGGGUAGACCGGGUCGAGUCGACAUUCCAACAACAACCUGUCCACAAUGCAAUGGAAGCCGAGAUUCGCGAAUCGUGUAUCUUCGGACAUGACGGAAAAAACCUGGAAAAUGCGCAGCUCGAUAUAAAGAAAGACAUUUCUUACAAAUUUCUUACAAUGGCCAUCUUUUUCUUGUAUUACGAAUCAAUUUUCAAAACACAAAUAACGUGAGGCUGAAAUGCACAUACCCCGA